RNAcentral lists this ribosomal RNA (435 nucleotides) under archaeon enrichment clone M21. RNAcentral's name for it is "bacterial SSU rRNA". It matches the Rfam family "Archaeal small subunit ribosomal RNA", at positions 1 to 440 of the family's 1478-position model. The record is from RNAcentral.
UCCGGUUGAUCCUGCCGGAAGCCACUGCUAUUGGAGUCCGACUAAGCCAUGCGAGUCCUGGGGAGCUUUGCUCACCGGCGGACGGCUCAGUAACACGUGGACAACCUGCCCUCGGGAGAUGGAUAACCCUUGGAAACAGGGGCUAAACCGCCAUAGGUCACGGAGGCUGGAAGGCGCCGUGGCUGAAACUCCUUCGGGAGCCUGAGGAUGGGUCUGCGGCCUAUCAGGUUGUAGUGGGGGUAACGGCCCCACUAGCCAGCAACGGGUACGGGCCCUGAGAGGGGGAGCCCGGAGAUGGACUUUGAGACACGAGUCCAGGCCCUACGGGGCGCAGCAGGCGCGAAACCUUCGCAAUGCAGGAAACUGCGACGAGGGGACUCCAAGUGCCUACGCUCAGCGUAGGCUGUUCAUGAGCCAACGAGCUCCGUACAAAUC